RNAcentral lists this long non-coding RNA (269 nucleotides) under Physcomitrium patens. RNAcentral's name for it is "long non-coding RNA (PPAT_LNC011461)". The record is from RNAcentral. Lineage: Eukaryota; Viridiplantae; Streptophyta; Bryopsida; Funariales; Funariaceae.
UCUUGUGGGAUAUCUCCUAUCAUUUGAAGAAGAUUCACCUUGAUGCUCUUCAACCUUCUUUUCUUUUGAACCUUGUCUCUUUUCACUCAAAGAUUGGUAUUCCUCAUCAUCAUCAUCAUCUUCAACUUCUUCAUUGUUUGUCAUCCCAAUUGUAUAUACUUUCUUCUUCUUCUUCUUCAUCUUCUUUGGUUCUUCAUGUUGAUUCAAAUCUCCACUAUCUUCAUUGUCUUCAUCUUCUUCUUCUUCUUUUGUUGCUGAAAUUGAAGAUG